Molecule: RNA transcript, 7888 nt
Organism: Bombus pyrosoma
Lineage: Eukaryota; Metazoa; Arthropoda; Insecta; Hymenoptera; Apidae
Gene name: transcription factor SOX-10-like
Exons: 4
Source: RefSeq, a predicted model, not a curated record
AGCGAUCGACUGCCCUAGUCAGUCCUCGUCCGUCUGCCGGUCGGUCGUUUACGUUUAUGUUUGACAGCUUGUGAAUUCGCGUCACUCGAGCUUCGACCAGCCAGUGCUACGCCUGUGUGUGUGUGGAUGUGUAUGUGUGCCGUCUCAUCUACCUACACGCUCGAUUAAAAAAAUGAAUUCCUUCUCGACCGGCUUGCCGAUAUUAAUCGAGACUUUUCUCUUUUUCCUGGAUCGUUCGAUUUUUCGAAUCGAUGCCACGCAUCGACAUUUUCCGACGAUUCUAAAAGACACUUUUAUCCGUUCACGCUAGUUACCGGACUUGGACGAUUCCUCGAUUUUCAAAGGAAAAGAAGGUCUCGGAUAGAAAGUCGUAGGAAAUGUUUGGCUGAGACAUUCUGUUAGCCGUUUAAAUCCACGUUCCACGCAGUUGAUAGAGAGUCGCGCGAGUAUACGCGUGCCAGAAGCAAGGUAGUCGACGACAACGGCAAUCGUCGUUCAACGCACAUAAAACUACCGUAAAAGACGAAACUGGUUUUCACAAUGAUUUGACAGAUAGAUUUGAUUCUGAGAUCAUUGUGAAAGCUGAUUUUGUUUGGAAGUCGCUGAAAUACAUCGCAGGAGAGACACAACGAGGAUGGGACAGGAAACGCGCGUUCCUCUCGGAUCUUGGAAACGAUCGAAUCACGGAGAUCGCGUGCCUUCUUCAUUCACCGUCUCAGGGUGUAAUUGUUGACGGAUAAAUAAAUUGUACGCACAAAGGAGCCUCUGUCUCGCGAGCAUUGCACGUAGCAGCACGCGCUUCACGGCGCGCGCCUCGAAAUUUAUGAUUCAUCGAGAAGACGACUACAAGAGGAGAGGAAAAGAUGGAAGGCUAUAAGGGAAAGAAUUGCUCGAUCUUUCCAAUCGAUAUUGCCAUGUUCAUGGAAACUGCAAUGAUUGUACAACGAUAUCUGGUACGAUCGUUGGAAAAAUGAGGAGAAACCGAGGACUGAAAAUGAUUGGUUUAGACUAGAUAAAUCCCUACGAUGCCACAAGAUCAUCUGUGAUAUAGCCACCAAAUAUCCAAUUGAAUGGCACGCGAACAAAGCAAGUUAAAUACCUAGGACACUCCACUUGGACGCACAACUUACAUGGGAACAACAUACUAAAUGAAUUGUGGACAAAACACGGAUAAAAAGAAGACGGAUGUACUGGCUAACUAGUCGAAACUCUAAACUCAGCAUAGAAAAUAAACUAAAAGUCUAGAAAACGAUGAUAAGAGCAAUUUGGACGUACGGAAUACCGCUAUGGGGGACAGCAGCACAUGAGCCACAUAAAUAAACUAGAGUCGCUGCAAUCGAAGAUACUAGGGACAAUAGUCGACGUACCAUGGUAUGUCAGAAACGAGGAUAUACGCAAAGACGACACGUUCAAACCAGGUGGCUGUUGAAACGAGCAAAACUCUGAUAGAAAGAAGACUGAAAAGGAAACAAACCAUUGACCUCGCCAAAGAAAAUCUGUGAUACGUACAUAAAGAUUUACAUAAGGAUAUCUUCAAUGUAUACGCUGUACAUCUAUUUUUAGUAGACUUUCGUGACUGAUUGUAUAUGUUUGAAUCGGCGAGUUAAUAUUUCGGAUCCGCUGUAUCCUCGCACCGAGGCAAAUUUCAUCCGGUAAGAGCAUCGAUGUUAUUCGAGAGAAUAUCGAAGACGAAGAAAAAUCAGACGAGCGUGGUCUGUUUUCGUGGUUUUCUCGAGGAAACAAGCGGAUGCAGGCUGCUGGGCCGUCAAUCGAGUAUCUAGAGCACGAACGAGCAACGUGGUUUUUUGUCGGAAUUUCCGGUAGUGAUUUAUCAAACGGGAAGAUGGUAUCGAACGAAGAAGCAACGGCAAGAAACGACUUCUCGCGGAGAGGCCGAAGAAACUAGAGAAGCGGAAGCGAAGAAAGAAGGGAAGGCAGAAGAAACGAAAGAAGAUGGCUCGCGAGUGCUGCAGCAGCAGGCUAUCCCGCGCGAACUCGGAACGCAUCGUGCUAUGCGGCCGGCUAUGUAUGCAUGCUCGAGCGCUAUCAAGUGUCAAACGAACCGAACUUAAGAAAAACCAAACGUUCGAGCUGCAGCCGUGGAAUUUUGAGAGAACGCAGCCAGACAAGAGCGAGCAAGAGAGAAGAGAAACUCUAGAUUCUAGAGAUGGUAUCCGUUCUAACAGUCAUCUACAUCGUCAUGACUCUUGGACGAUGGGUUGCUUUCGACCCUCUUAGCGCAUCAUAUUCCUGACAGCUCGGGGAAAGGACAGCUCGGAGAGUGUUCUCCAGCUCGAUCACCGGAAUCUAACCCCUUUUCUUCUCGACUUUGUUCCCAGAGAUCGAGUUUACCACCAGGUUCGUCAUGAUCAUCGGUGCAAUAAAACGACCGUGAACACGCAUCCACGUGUCCUUGGACGUAGAACGAUAUUCGAUGCAGUCAUAGACUGGCCAACCUAAGUCCAUUUUGUCACGGAUCUACGAGAAGGAGCGGAGUUUCACUACUUUUUCUUUAUUUCUUCUCAGCGACUUGAGCGGUGGCUCGUAAAAGAAAUCCUUGGCAAAUUGGGCCACGAGACGGGACAUGGUCGUUCUCGUGUUUCGAGUCGAUAAACUUGCGGCCGGCGUGCUUCGACGGCCACGAAAUCACGCGAGAUUUAUUCUCCUUCCUCCUUUCUCACUCGGUCCGGUCUGACGUUAUUUUGACAGGACCGCGAGAAAAUUUAUCGAGGAGAGCGUAAAGGCGGUGGCAACUACGCGGGCCCGACAAUGUUUUGAGCUAUUAGACGAAACAAGUCACUGGUCUUUUACGAGCAGUUGCGGUGACCCACAGCGCCACGUUCGACCACCAUCUUCGAUCGUAAAUCCAAUUGGUGAGUAAUUCGAUAUUAAACGAUAAAUAUUAACGAAGCUUUGUGGAUCUCCCACACUCGACAUUGGCCAUCUACUCGGUGGAAUUUAAAGAUUCGAAACUGUCGAUUGUUUUUAUCAAAUUGAAUCGUUUUAUUAAAUAAAUUAUAACGAACUCGAAUAGAAAUGAAUCGUCUACGUAAUACGUUACAGACGUUUUAUUUUAUCAGAACGAUGAAACUUGAUAGAGUCUGGUAUAGUUGUAGAAUUUCACUCGCAAGGGUGUAUUUCCUUGAGAAAGAAACGCGAAGGAAGGAAAACCGAGGAAAAAGGAAAAAAAAUAAAUCGAGAGAGCGGAAAUAACUAUUUAAAAUCGACCACUCGUUUAAUCGAGGUCUGGUUGUUAUCGGCUCCAAACGUAUCGACGCAACCAAGAGCUAGAAUUUUACGAGCGAGAACGUUGAACGAUGUCGUAAAAACGUCGACCCGCGAUUUUCUGGAAAACUCGUAAAUCCUUGCACCCACUUGUAACAUUCUCCAGAGAUUUCCACAAUCUCGAGGGUUGAUAUUCCGAAAUCAAAUUUCAGUCUCUUUCGCGUCGAAACGAGAAGCGUUCCGGGACUUUUAAUUCUUCAGCAACGAACUCGCGAUUUGAAACUAACGUCGUCACGGUCUACGUAAAACUUGGCGUCACAUGGCACACACCUAACCACGCAGAACAAAAUUACGCUCUAUAAGACCGUAAUAAAACCUGUCUGGACCUACGGAAUCCAACUUCUAAUCGAAAACGCUAAGAUCCCUGAUAAAUGCACCUUGCUUUGUCACCAACGAAGCAAUACAUCGCCACCUCGAGAUACGCACAGUCAAAGAAGAAAUAACAAAAUAUAGCAAUAGAUAUAGCAAAAGAGUCGACAAACAUCGAAACCCCCUAAUUACUAAAUUACUUAAUACGUCGGACCAGAUCCGCAGGCUAAAAAACACCACCCGUUAGACCUAAGCACAAGAUUUAACUAGAUAUUUAUAUUAAGUGAUAUUUACUUAUUUAUGAAUUAUACUUAUCUAUAAUAGGUGUUAACUUGUUAUAAACAAUUAGCCAUGUCACUGCGCCACGCCGGAGAAAAUUACUUAAAAUUCUCAAUGCGAGAAUUGAUUGUAAAAUACUAGUAAAUAAAAAAAAAACAUGGUACACGUCUUAAUUGACACGACGGAUCAGAUCCGCAGGCUAAGAAGACAUUAUCCUUUAGAUUUAAACAUUAAAUUCAACUGGAAUACGAUCAAACGCUUAUUAUCCAAGUUGUGGUACAACGCCAGAAUAAUUUACUUAUAAUUCUCAAUGAAAAUUGAUUGUAAAAUUCUCCCAAACAAUAAAGAAAAAACAUAGUUCACAUAGUCGAACUAUGGAACAGUUCGUACAAUUUAUUCAAUAAAAUAAAAUUUCAUAACUAAUAGAAAAAAAGAGCCGUGAUAAUCCGCUUUGUUGGCCAGAUCUCGCUUUUGACAGAAUGGAAGAAGACGGAAAGUUUUCAAUGGUCCUAAUUCGAUGACCAGCGACCAGGGUUUGUAAAGGGCGUUGAGUGGAGGCAACGAGAGGAAGAAGGAUCGAAGGGUAGCGCACGUGCGUAACGCGCGACACAUCUCGAUCCUCGGCUCUAUCUCGUUCUUUCGUGGCGCGGAUGUGCGCACCAUCGCACACGCGAUUCGCUCAACUUGCCGAAGAAGGCCUUUUCUCGUCCGGCCGCUGUUCCAGUACGUAUGUUGGCCGGCGUCGUUGGUCUCGCGAGGCCGCGAGGCACGAGCAACGGGCCGAGCUUUUAUCACAGCCGAAUCGCCGCUAGCCACAUGUGUACCGAGCAAAAACUUCCUCCUACGGUUCUUCUUCUUCUUCGUCUUCUUCUUCUUCUUCUUCAACGUCCCCUCCUUUUCGUCUUUCUUUCCGCUGGUCCACUCGUGGUCGAUUCCCCUUCGAUCCAGUCGCGCGCGGGUGGUCAGUUCAAUACACGUACAUCCCUAUUUACAAGUAUUAGGCUACUUAAAGGAAAUAAGGUACCCGAAUAUCAUUAGGAAACCAGUAAAGUAUCGAGGAAUUAUUAUGAAAUUUUGUGUCGAGAUUAUAAAAUCUUAGGUAAAUAAAGGACCCAUAUAUUCCAUGUUGCAAGAAUUUUGUUUAAUGCAAUAUCGUUGCAAGGAGAUCUAAUUUUUUCGAUAUACCGUUCAAUUUCCAAUCGCAUUUAUUCAAAACGUAUUAAACGUGGUUCCACUGAGUAUCUCUUUUUUUAUUAUUUAACUUUUACUUUACAAUUUGCCCAGCUGGACAUUCGGUAAAUUUUUCUAGCUCAAUUGCUAAAUAACGUGUGCAUGGCUACCCCCGGCGGGAUACCAUCUCUUGUAACUUCUGUAUACAUUUUCAGAUAUAAAUAUAAAACUUUACCAAUAGUACCAUAACAGUCGUCGAGUCUCGAAAUAGCGUUAAUGAAAUUUUAAGAUGUUUUCUACGACACGUGUGAUACGUUCGUAAUGUACUGGUCCACCAAAACCCAUUAGUUACCCAACUACUCGACACGACGGACCAGAUCCGCAAACUAAAAACCCUUUAGAUUUAAACAUUAGAUUCAACUAGAAUCGAACAUACUACAAACACUUAUUAUCCAAGUUAUAGUACCACGCCAGAAUAAUUUACUUUUAAUUCUCGAUUAGAAUUGAUUGUAAAAUUCUAGCAAAUAAAAUAAAAAAAAAAUGUAUUGGAAUACUUUCGUGAGUCUAUGUGUAACAAAAAUCAUGCUGUAACAGUAAUCGUAACCAAGCAUGUGGAUUUUACAGUUGGAACGAUGAGAAAGCAAUUGAGCGACGGAAAAACAGCGCGUGGCCUAAUUUUUCACUUUCGUUCUUCCGAUAUCUCGAUCGAUGGUGCACGUACCUUCGGAUGUUGCAACCGAUGUUGCAUCGAACGAUGGAUCGCGCGAACGAACGAUCCCAAGUUAUAAAUUACAAUAAUAGCCGAGGACAUUGCAAUCGGAGUAGCAAUUAGUCUCAGUCGGCACUGGGUUUAUCGCGUUCCACGGCUAUCGUGGCGAACUUUUUAUUGUAAUUUGCAAUAGAAAACUGCGGAGCCCUACUCAUCGUUUCUAUCGUACGAUACUCCAAAUACGUAGCUUUUUGUCUUUUCUUUUUUUUUUUAAACUUGUCUGCGAUCCAACAGUUGGUAUAAAAUUUAUGUUCGGUUCGAUAAAAGAGGCUCGUGUCGAAUUGCGAAUCAUAAAGUUUUUAAAAUGAUAAAUAUCGAGCUCAUUCUGUGCAUGUAACAACAGAUUGUUUCGAGUUUGUCGAGCACGUACCAUUCUCGAGUGGAUCUCGUACUUGAGACGCCUCUGAAACCAUCGAAACUCUCGUCUUUUCUUUCCUUCGCCCUCGUCGACCAUCGCUUUCUCUCUUCUCCUCUUUGCGCGUUUAGGCGUCGAUCCUUCGUUACCAUAUAUGUACGUACUAGAAAGAGUUUGAGGAGGAAAAAAACAAAAUUCGAGCGUGAACUCGAAAAAGGAAAAAAAACGAGUGAAUUGCAGCGGAUCGAAAAGAAAUUGCUAUCGUGACGACGUUAUCCUCGUGUCGAUUGAUCCUUUACAGUUUCACAUCGACCUACUUUUACCUUUAACUGCGUAAUUCAGAUGAAAAAAAAUGUAAUCCCACAGAAAUAUACGAACGUAGACGUACGAGACGAGAGUAAUGAUAAUCGUAUUGUCGGUUAUGAAAAUUUCUAAUCUUUUUAUUCAACUGAUAUUUUUCUCCUUCGAUCUUUGUACGAAAAAUUGAAGCGCUACGUCUUACGUAACUAUAAUACGAUUACCAACGUGCCAUGCGGCGGUCGCGGACAGCGCACGAGUAAAAAAUCUCUCGUCUCGCACAGAGCCUAAGCAUUCAGCGCUUAGCGAAUCGACGUGCACGCAGAAACAAGUGCAAAGAUAAAAGCAAAAGCGAAAAGGAAACACGAAAGGAGGUUGGUUAAAGAAAAUGAAUGCCUUGGAAACGAAGAAACGUACCGACGACGUAUAAUAAGGAGGAGGAAGAGGAGGAGGAGGAGGAGGAGGACGACGACGACGAAGGGCCUCUGAACGGUAUCUACGAUCGGCGUUGGACGAGAGGACUAACGUCGGCGCGUAAAUUCAACGCGAAAAACGUACAAACAGACAAGGAUUCUUUCCAAGAAGCUAGCGGCUGUCUCGUAUCUCGAAUCACUCUCUGCCAAAUGCCAAUUAUCACGAGCCGCCGCUAGCAAUUAACAGGCAAAGGCAAGCGAGGAAGAGCAUCGGCAAACUGUUUAUUCCGUCUCGGUUUCGUCGGAAAGGGAAGCAGUCGCGACGUGGAUUGGAACCGUUCCAUCGUAUUUUUCUUAACGCCUAACGUACGUAUCUCGGACACGCAACUUGAAUCGUGGCGAUCUCGCGAAUGCUUGCACUGCCGUACCGAUCUGUCGAUAUGAUCGUGUAUUCAGGGUGAAUCGGUAACGAUGCUACGAUAAGUAACUAGGCGAUUCUGCGCGUAAAUACACAGAGAUAUCCUGUACAUCGUGUGCACCAAGUGCAUCGUUGUUCAAGAGUACACAUGUGGAUUGCUGCUAGAUACUUUGAUAGAACGUCAUUUCGUUAGAGAACUAGAAAUAGAAAAACCCAGGACGAUCUUUUUUAUCGUCAAUUGCAAACGCCAUUGUAGAACGGUAUAUCGGUCGAUAAAAUAGAUCUUUAGAGACUAAUAUGCUAUCAUCGGAGUAUUCGCUCGCAAACCGUGUUCAAGAUUUUCAUGAGAAUCGAGUUAGAAAUUUGUUGGAACAGGACGUGGUUAUGAGUACACGAGGGACAACUCUCACGCUGUUACGAAUCGAGGAACUUCUGGAUAAGACUGGAAUAAAUUGCAAUAUUUUCACAAUAGUAUCCACAACAGAGAUUUAAUUAUUUCAAUUAAUUAUUCGUUAUUAUUCUUCUCACGUUACCUAACGAUAUUAACGUAUCUUUUAUGUUAUUCCUGUUAUAUAAUUGGUUUUUCUUUCUGU